This is a non-coding RNA of Sus scrofa (pig), 816 nucleotides long. The record is from RefSeq and is a predicted model, not a curated record. Lineage: Eukaryota; Metazoa; Chordata; Mammalia; Artiodactyla; Suidae.
CUUUGUAAUCCAAAUAGUCUAAACAUAAGUGAUUUACUGUCAUGUUCUCUGUUCCAGAAGAACAUUCUAUACUGGAAAAAUCUUGCUUAAAACAGCUUAAUGAGAGGAGUAGGAAUACUGUAUGUUAAAAAUACCUGCUGAUUUUCAUGAAAUAUUUUGUUGUAUGCAGCUAAGACUGCUAAGUAAGGUUUUCACAAGGAGAGUUCCACUGACCCUAUGAUGCUGAUGUGGAAAAGCCCAGGGCUAAGCUUCCAGGGCUUCAGUGAGAAAGAAUGUAACAGCACAAUUUAGUCCCAGAAUAAAGGACUUUUCUUUUCCUCCAUACUUAAUUCUUAGGCUUACAAAACUUGGCACAUUGGUAUUUACUAUAACUUAUUUUAGGUUAAUUAUAUGUCCAAAGCAUUUGGCUUGGAUACAUGGCACUCAGAUAAACAUCUAUGAGCGUCCACAAUAUAGGUCAUGUGUUCAAAGUUUAGCUCUGUUCUCAGCAUCAAUCUUUGUAAUCAGUGCUGCCCUUCCAGCAGAGUGCUGUCCUACAAACCAUCCUGAAAUGAGUGGUGGUGGAGCCCUGAGGCUUGCUAAUUGCCCUGAAGAUGAUUAACUGUGUACAGGGAUAUAAUAUAAUGAGAAGGAUACCUAUCAACUGGAGACUUAGACAUUCGCCGGGUGAGGCCUGGAGAACUCUUCUUGCUCUUCACAAGGAAAGAAAAUGAAGAAAAAAGUGAAAAUCUAUCUGGGCAGAUUGCAUCUUCCAAAAUGGCUACAAUAGCAUUUCUGGUCCCCCAUUCUCUUCAGAGUUUUGCCACACUAGAGGUG